GAUGAAGAACGUAGCGAAAUGCGAUAAGUAAUGUGAAUUGCAGAAUUCAGUGAAUCAUCGAAUCUUUGAACGCACAUUGCGCCCUUUGGUAUUCCGAAGGGCAUGCCUGUUCGAGCGUCAUUUCAAACCUCAAGCUUCUGCUUGGUAUUGGGCUCCGUCCGCUCAGGACGCGCCUGAAACUCGUAGGCGGUGGUGUCCAUCUCACAGCGUAGUCAAUUCUACCCGCUUCGGAGUUAUGGGCUCUGCUCGCCAGACAACCCCCAAUUUUUCUAUGGUUUGACCUCGGAUCAGGUAGGGAUACCCGCUGAACUUAAGCAUAUCAAUAAGCGGAGGA
This 334-nucleotide unclassified non-coding RNA is filed under the name soil metagenome. RNAcentral describes it as "partial contains 5.8S ribosomal RNA, internal transcribed spacer 2, and large subunit ribosomal RNA". The stretch from base 1 to 120 matches the Rfam family "5.8S ribosomal RNA", at positions 35 to 154 of the family's 154-position model. The record is from RNAcentral.